Molecule: ribosomal RNA, 240 nt
Filed under: Sphingobacterium faecium
Lineage: Bacteria; Pseudomonadati; Bacteroidota; Sphingobacteriia; Sphingobacteriales; Sphingobacteriaceae
Description: partial 16S ribosomal RNA
Rfam family: Bacterial small subunit ribosomal RNA
Source: RNAcentral
CUGAUGAGAGUGGCGCACGGGUGCGUAACGCGUGAGCAACCUACCCAUAUCAGGGGGAUAGCCUCUCGAAAGAGAGAUUAACACCGCAUAACAUCAUUUACCGGCAUCGGUUAAUGAUCAAAUAUUUAUAGGAUAUGGAUGGGCUCGCGUGACAUUAGCUAGUUGGAGGGGUAACGGCCCACCAAGGCUACGAUGUCUAGGGGCUCUGAGAGGAGAAUCCCCCACACUGGUACUGAGACA